RNAcentral lists this ribosomal RNA (439 nucleotides) under uncultured bacterium. RNAcentral's name for it is "bacterial SSU rRNA". It matches the Rfam family "Bacterial small subunit ribosomal RNA", at positions 341 to 773 of the family's 1533-position model. The record is from RNAcentral.
UAGGAAGGCAGCAGUGGGGAAUAUUGCACAAUGGGCGCAAGCCUGAUGCAGCCAUGCCGCGUGUAUGAAGAAGGCCUUCGGGUUGUAAAGUACUUUCAGUCGUGAGGAAGGUGUUAAGGUUAAUAACCUUAGCAAUUGACGUUAGCGACAGAAGAAGCACCGGCUAACUCCGUGCCAGCAGCCGCGGUAAUACGGAGGGUGCGAGCGUUAAUCGGAAUUACUGGGCGUAAAGGGCACGCAGGCGGUUAAUUAAGUUGGAUGUGAAAUCCCCGGGCUUAACCUGGGAAUGGCAUUCAAGACUGGUUAGCUAGAGUCUUGUAGAGGGGGUAGAAUUCCAUGUGUAGCGGUGAAAUGCGUAGAGAUGUGGAGGAAUACCGGUGGCGAAGGCGGCCCCUGGGACAAAGACUGACGCUCAUGUGCGAAAGCGUGGGGAGCAAAC